This 785-nucleotide unclassified non-coding RNA is filed under the name Acremonium egyptiacum. RNAcentral describes it as "sequence contains 18S rRNA gene, ITS1, 5.8S rRNA gene, ITS2, 28S rRNA gene". The stretch from base 541 to 785 matches the Rfam family "Eukaryotic large subunit ribosomal RNA", at positions 1 to 249 of the family's 3401-position model. The record is from RNAcentral. Lineage: Eukaryota; Fungi; Ascomycota; Sordariomycetes; Hypocreales; Bionectriaceae.
GAAGUAAAAGUCGUAACAAGGUCUCCGUUGGUGAACCAGCGGAGGGAUCAUUACCGAGUGUAAAAACUCCCAAACCAUUGUGAACCUACCACUGUUGCUUCGGCGGCCUCGCCCCGGGCGCGUUCGCGCGGCCCGGACCCAGGCGUCCGCCGGAGGCUCCAAACUCUUGUCUUUUAGUGUAUUUCUGAGUGGCAUAAGCAAAUAAAUCAAAACUUUCAGCAACGGAUCUCUUGGUUCUGGCAUCGAUGAAGAACGCAGCAAAAUGCGAUAAGUAAUGUGAAUUGCAGAAUUCAGUGAAUCAUCGAAUCUUUGAACGCACAUUGCGCCCGCCAGUAUUCUGGCGGGCAUGCCUGUCUGAGCGUCAUUUCAACCCUCAGGACCCGUUCGCGGGACCUGGCGUUGGGGAUCAGCCUGCCCCUGGCGGCGGCUGGCCCUGAAAUCCAGUGGCGGUUCCCUCGCGAACUCCUCCGUGCAGUAAUUAAACCUCUCGCGGCAGGAUAGCGGUUGAACCACGCCGUUAAACCCCCCACUUCUCAAGGUUGACCUCAGAUCAGGUAGGAAUACCCGCUGAACUUAAGCAUAUCAAUAAGCGGAGGAAAAGAAACCAACAGGGAUUGCCCUAGUAACGGCGAGUGAAGCGGCAACAGCUCAAAUUUGAAAUCUGGCCUCACGGUCCGAAUUGUAAUUUGUAGAGGAUGUUUCUGGCGACGUGUCUUCCGAGUUCCCUGGAACGGGACGCCAUAGAGGGUGAGAGCCCCGUCCGGUCGUACACCUAGCCUCUGUGA